AUUGAACGCUGGCGGUAUGCUUAACACAUGCAAGUCGAACGGUAACAGGCCUUCGGGCGCUGACGAGUGGCGGACGGGUGAGUAAACGCGUAGGAAUCUGCCUCAUAGUGGGGGACAACGUGGGGAAACUCACGCUAAUACCGCAUACGCCUACGGGGAAAGGACGGGGAGUCUUCGGACCUCGCGCUAUGAGAUGAGCCUGCGUUAGAUUAGCUAGUUGGUAGGGUAAAGGCCUACCAAGGCGACGAUCUAUAGCUGGUCUGAGAGGACGAUCAGCCACACUGGGACUGAGACACGGCCCAGACUCCUACGGGAGGUAGCAGUGGGGAAUAUUGGACCAAUGGGCGCAAGCCUGAUCCAGCAAUACCGCGUGUGUGAAGAAGGCCUUAGGUUGUAAAGACACUUCUAAUUAGGGUAGGGAAAAACCGUAACGCCGGU
RNAcentral lists this ribosomal RNA (438 nucleotides) under uncultured bacterium. RNAcentral's name for it is "bacterial SSU rRNA". It matches the Rfam family "Bacterial small subunit ribosomal RNA", at positions 30 to 467 of the family's 1533-position model. The record is from RNAcentral.